Molecule: ribosomal RNA, 279 nt
Filed under: uncultured bacterium
Lineage: Bacteria
Description: partial 16S ribosomal RNA
Rfam family: Bacterial small subunit ribosomal RNA
Source: RNAcentral
UGCCAGCCGCCGCGGUAAUACAAAAAGUGCAAGCGUUGUUCGGAAUUAUUGGGCGUAAAGCACGUAUAAACGGUUCGUUAAGUCUGAUGUGAAAGCCCGGGGCUCAACCCCGGAAGUGCAUUGGAAACUGGCGAACUUGAGUACGGGAGAGGAAAAUGGAAUUCCGAGUGUAGGGGUGAAAUCCGUAGAUAUUCGGAGGAACACCAGUGGCGAAGGCGGCUUUCUGGACCAAUACUGACGCUGAGAUGCGAAAGCGUGGGGAGCGAACAGGAUUAGAUA